RNAcentral lists this ribosomal RNA (440 nucleotides) under uncultured bacterium. Its description in RNAcentral is "partial 16S ribosomal RNA". It matches the Rfam family "Bacterial small subunit ribosomal RNA", at positions 338 to 795 of the family's 1533-position model. The record is from RNAcentral.
CCUACGGGUGGCAGCAGUGGGGAAUAUUGCACAAUGGGGGAAACUCUGAUGCAGCGACGCCGCGUGAGUGAAGAAGUAAUUCGGUAUGUAAAGCUCUAUCAGCAGGGAAGAAAAUGACGGUACCUGAGUAAGAAGCCCCGGCUAACUACGUGCCAGCAGCCGCGGUAAUACGUAGGGGGCACGCGUUAUCCGGAUUUACUGGGUGUAAAGGGAGCGUAGACGGCAGUGCAAGUCUGGAGUGAAAGGCGGUGGCUCAACCCUCGGACUGCACUGGAAACUGUACGGCUGGAGUGCAGGAGAGGUAAGCGGAAUUCCUGGUGUAGCGGUGAAAUGCGUAGAUAUUAGGAAGAACACCGGUGGCGAAGGCGACUGACUGGACUGUAACUGACGUUGAGGCUCGAAAGCGUGGGGAGCAAACAGGAUUAGAUACCCUUGUAGUC